This 292-nucleotide ribosomal RNA is filed under the name uncultured bacterium. RNAcentral describes it as "partial 16S ribosomal RNA". It matches the Rfam family "Bacterial small subunit ribosomal RNA", at positions 505 to 796 of the family's 1533-position model. The record is from RNAcentral.
GUGUCAGCCGCCGCGGUAAUACGGAGGAUCCAAGCGUUAUCCGGAUUUAUUGGGUUUAAAGGGUGCGUAGGCGGAAUAGUAAGUCAGUGGUGAAAGCCUGCAGCUUAACUGUAGAAUUGCCAUUGAUACUGCUAAUCUUGAGUACAUAUGAAGUGGGCGGAAUGUGUCAUGUAGCGGUGAAAUGCUUAGAUAUGACACAGAACACCGAUUGCGAAGGCAGCUCACUAAACUGUAACUGACGCUGAGGCACGAAAGCAUGGGGAGCAAACAGGAUUAGAAACCCUAGUAGUCC